CGGGGUGCCCAGGCGCGAAAACUUUGCAAUACACGAAAGUGUGACAGGGUCAUCCCGAGUGCCGACCGCUGAGGUUGGCUUUUACCCAGUCUAGAAAGCUGGGGGAAUAAGGAGAGGGCAAGUCUGGUGUCAGCCGCCGCGGUAAUACCAGCUCUCCGAGUGGUGUGGACGUUUAUUGGGCCUAAAGCAUCCGUAGCUGGCUGAACAAGUCCCCUGUUAAACCCACCGAUUUAAUCGUUGGUCUGCGGGGGAUACUGCUCGGCUAGGGGACGAGAGAGGCAGACGGUAUUCCCGGGGUAGGGGUGAAAUCCUAUAAUCCCGAGAAGACCACCAGUGGCGAAGGCUGUCUGCUAGAACGCGCCCGACGGUGAGGGAUGAAAGCUGGGGGAGCGAACCGGAUUAGAUACCCGGGUAGUCCCAGCUGUAAACGAUGCAGACUAGGUGUUUGGACGGCCACGUGCCGUUCUAGUGCCGCAGGGAAGCUGUUAAGUCUGCCGCCUGGGGAGUACGAUCGCAAGAUUGAAACUUAAAGGAAUUGGCGGGGGAGCAC
RNAcentral lists this ribosomal RNA (550 nucleotides) under uncultured archaeon. RNAcentral's name for it is "bacterial SSU rRNA". It matches the Rfam family "Archaeal small subunit ribosomal RNA", at positions 326 to 879 of the family's 1478-position model. The record is from RNAcentral.